Molecule: non-coding RNA, 281 nt
Organism: Cricetulus griseus (Chinese hamster)
Lineage: Eukaryota; Metazoa; Chordata; Mammalia; Rodentia; Cricetidae
Source: RefSeq, a predicted model, not a curated record
CCACAGAGAAAACCUGUUUCAAAACCAAAAAAGAAAAAGAAAAACAAUGCUGUGUGUAAUUCUGGUUACUUCAUUCCUUGGGGCAUUCAGGACCAGUGGCUCUUGUCUUCAGACACUACCUUUGACCCUUAACCCUGUUCUCUCCUUAUAUUACUCAAGACUCCAGCACCCAGCCGGACAGCGUCUUUUUCUGAGUCCAGAGCUGAUGAAGUGGCACCUGCAAAGAAAGCCAAACCAGCCAUGCCCCAAGAUUCAGUCCCAAGUCCAAGAUCCCUGCAAGG